UACGUAGGGGGCUAGCGUUGUCCGGAAUCAUUGGGCGUAAAGCGCGCGUAGGCGGCCAGAUAAGUCCGGUGUGAAAGUCACAGGCUCAACCUGUGAAUGCCGCUGGAAACUGUCUGGCUAGAGUCCGGAAGGGGCGAGUGGAAUUCCUGGUGUAGCGGUGAAAUGCGCAGAUAUCAGGAGGAACACCGGUGGCGAAGGCGCACAUCUGGCCCGAUACUGACGCUGAGGCGCGAAAGCUAGGGGAGCAAACGGG
RNAcentral lists this ribosomal RNA (253 nucleotides) under uncultured bacterium. RNAcentral describes it as "partial 16S ribosomal RNA". It matches the Rfam family "Bacterial small subunit ribosomal RNA", at positions 524 to 776 of the family's 1533-position model. The record is from RNAcentral.